AGUCAUAUGCUUGUCUCAAAGAUUAAGCCAUGCAUGUCUAAGUACAAACUAUAUUAAAGUGAAACCGCGAAAGGCUCAUUAAAUCAGUUAUGGUUCCUUAGAUCGUACCACAAUUACUUGGAUAACUGUGGUAAUUCUAGAGCUAAUACAUGCAAACAGAGCUCUGACCGGAGACGGAAGGAGUGCUUUUAUUAUAUCAAAACCAAUCGGCGGCGGUAGCGUUUCGGCGUUAUCGUUCGUCGCUCAAUAUAUGGUGAAUCUGAAUAACUUUAUGCUGAUCGCAUGGUCUUGUACCGGCGACGCAUCUUUCAAAUGUCUGCCUUAUCAACUGUCGAUGGUAGGAUCUGCGCCUACCAUGGUUGUAACGGGUAACGGGGAAUCAGGGUUCGAUUCCGGAGAGGGAGCCUGAGAAACGGCUACCACAUCCAAGGAAGGCAGCAGGCGCGCAAAUUACCCACUCCCGGCACGGGGAGGUAGUGACGAAAAAUAACGAUACGGGACUCAUCCGAGGCCCCGUAAUCGGAAUGAGUACACUUUAAAUCCUUUAACGAGGACCAAUUGGAGGGCAAGUCUGGUGCCAGCAGCCGCGGUAAUUCCAGCUCCAAUAGCGUAU
This 613-nucleotide ribosomal RNA is filed under the name Styracoderus atramentarius. RNAcentral describes it as "SSU rRNA". It matches the Rfam family "Eukaryotic small subunit ribosomal RNA", at positions 22 to 602 of the family's 1831-position model. Lineage: Eukaryota; Metazoa; Arthropoda; Insecta; Coleoptera; Carabidae. The record is from RNAcentral.